ACAUUUUUAAAAUUAUGGCUCUGAAAUUGGAACGAUGCAGAAGAUUACCAUUGCCUCUUCGCAUGGACGACGCGCAAAUUCGUGAAGCAUUCCAUUUUUUA
Aplysia californica (California sea hare) is the source of this 101-nucleotide small nuclear RNA. The record is from RefSeq and is a predicted model, not a curated record. Lineage: Eukaryota; Metazoa; Mollusca; Gastropoda; Aplysiida; Aplysiidae.